Molecule: ribosomal RNA, 917 nt
Filed under: uncultured fungus
Lineage: Eukaryota; Fungi
Description: eukaryotic LSU rRNA
Rfam family: Eukaryotic large subunit ribosomal RNA (bases 273-917)
Source: RNAcentral
AUCGAUGAAGAACGCAGCGAAAUGCGAUAAGUAAUGUGAAUUGCAGAAUUCAGUGAAUCAUCGAAUCUUUGAACGCACAUUGCGCCCUCUGGUAUUCCGGGGGGCAUGCCUGUUCGAGCGUCAUUACAACCCUCAAGCUCUGCUUGGUAUUGGGCGUCACCCCCGGGUGCGCCUCAAAAACAGUGGCGGUGCCGUCUGGCUUCAAGCGUAGUAAUUUCUCUCGCUCCGGAGUCCAGGCGAGUGCUCGCCAGAACCCCCAAUUUAUCAAAGGUUGACCUCGGAUCAGGUAGGGAUACCCGCUGAACUUAAGCAUAUCAAUAAGCGGAGGAAAAGAAACCAACAGGGAUUGCCUCAGUAACGGCGAGUGAAGCGGCAAAAGCUCAAAUUUGAAAUCUGGCCUCACGGUCCGAGUUGUAAUUUGUAGAGGAUGUUUCGAACGUGGUCCGAUCUAAGUUCCUUGGAACAGGACGUCAUAGAGGGUGAGAAUCCCGUAUGUGCCCGGGUGCCAUUGUUCAUGUGAAGCUCCUUCGACGAGUCGAGUUGUUUGGGAAUGCAGCUCAAAAUGGGUGGUAAAUUUCAUCUAAAGCUAAAUACUGGCCAGAGACCGAUAGCGCACAAGUAGAGUGAUCGAAAGAUGAAAAGCACUUUGGAAAGAGAGUUAAACAGUACGUGAAAUUGUUGAAAGGGAAGCGCUUGCAAUCAGACUUGCAUGCAGUCGAUCAUCCGAUGUUCUCACCGGUGCACUCGAUUGUAUUCAGGCCAGCAUCGGUUUUGGUGGUUGGAUAAAGGCCUCAGGAACGUGGCUCCUCUCGGGGAGUGUUAUAGCCUGAGGUGCAAUGCAGCCUACUGGGACCGAGGACCGCGCUUCGGCUAGGAUGCUGGCGUAAUGGUUGUAAGCGACCCGUCUUGAAACACGG